This 285-nucleotide ribosomal RNA is filed under the name uncultured Campylobacterota bacterium. RNAcentral's name for it is "uncultured Epsilonproteobacteria bacterium partial 16S ribosomal RNA". It matches the Rfam family "Bacterial small subunit ribosomal RNA", at positions 373 to 674 of the family's 1533-position model. The record is from RNAcentral. Lineage: Bacteria; Pseudomonadati; Campylobacterota.
GGAGGAAACUCUGAUGCAGCAACGCCGCGUGGAGGAUGACGCAUUUCGGUGUGUAACGUCCUUUUAUGUGGGAAGAUCAUGACGGUACCUCAUGAAUAAGCACCGGCUAACUCCGUGCCAGCAGCCGCGGUAAUACGAGAGGACGCAAGCGUUACUCGGAAUCACUGGGCGUAAAGCGCGCGCAGGCGGCCUUUUAAGUUGGAUGUGAAAGCCUACGGCUCAACCGUAGAACUGCAUCCGAGACUGUGUGGCUAGAGUGUGGGAGAGGAAGAUGGAAUUAGUUGU